This 460-nucleotide ribosomal RNA is filed under the name uncultured bacterium. RNAcentral describes it as "partial 16S ribosomal RNA". It matches the Rfam family "Bacterial small subunit ribosomal RNA", at positions 338 to 795 of the family's 1533-position model. The record is from RNAcentral.
CCUACGGGGGGCAGCAGUGAGGAAUAUUGGUCAAUGGACGAGAGUCUGAACCAGCCAAGUAGCGUGAAGGAUGACUGCCCUAUGGGUUGUAAACUUCUUUUAUAAAGGAAUAAAACGCGGCACGUGUGCCUUUUUGCAUGUACUUUAUGAAUAAGGAUCGGCUAACUCCGUGCCAGCAGCCGCGGUAAUACGGAGGAUCCGAGCGUUAUCCGGAUUUAUUGGGUUUAAAGGGAGCGUAGAUGGGUUGUUAAGUCAGUUGUGAAAGUUUGCGGCUCAACCGUAAAAUUGCAAUUGAUACUGGCAGUCGUGAGUACAGUUGAGGUAGGCGGAAUUCGUGGUGUAGCGGUGAAAUGCUUAGAUAUCACGAAGAACCCCGAUUGCGAAGGCAGCUUACUAAACUGUGACUGACAUUGAUGCUCGAAAGUGUGGGUAUCAAACAGGAUUAGAUACCCCAGUAGUC